UAUAAAACCUUAAACGGAAGGGGGAAAAAAAUGGACUGGCAGAUUUAGAGAGUUCCACACCAUCAAGUAGGAAAUUGCCUUUUCCCUUUUUGUUCAUAAUCUCUACCUACCUGAGUCAGAGUAGAACUUCCACACAUGAACUCACCAUUUUCCCUGAUUAAAACUAUGGUAAGUUAGUUGGCAAAAGUUACCAAAGCCAAUGUUUGCAUAUACUAUUUUGCAGUAGUUUCUUAAAUGCUAGUCAAGGAAAGGUAAAUUUUGGGGAUAUCUGAUUAAAAAUGGCAAUGGUCACCCUAAAUUUCCCCUACAAGGAAGGUUUUUCAUUUUAACCAUCUCUCAUGGAAACUGACUGACUUUGAACAA
RNAcentral lists this long non-coding RNA (363 nucleotides) under Pan troglodytes (chimpanzee). RNAcentral describes it as "long non-coding RNA NONPTRT013213". The record is from RNAcentral. Lineage: Eukaryota; Metazoa; Chordata; Mammalia; Primates; Hominidae.